Molecule: ribosomal RNA, 429 nt
Filed under: Bacillota bacterium
Lineage: Bacteria; Bacillati; Bacillota
Description: Firmicutes bacterium partial 16S ribosomal RNA
Rfam family: Bacterial small subunit ribosomal RNA
Source: RNAcentral
UAGGGAAUCUUCGGCAAUGGACGGAAGUCUGACCGAGCAACGCCGCGCGAGUGAAGAAGGUUUUCGGAUCGUAAAGCUCUGUUGUUAGAGAAGAACGUUGGUAGGAGUGGAAAAUCUACCAAGUGACGGUAUCUAACCAGAAAGGGACGGCUAACUACGUGCCAGCAGCCGCGGUAAUACGUAGGUCCCGAGCGUUGUCCGGAUUUAUUGGGCGUAAAGCGAGCGCAGGCGGUUCUUUAAGUCUGAAGUUAAAGGCAGUGGCUUAACCAGUGUACGCUUUGGAAACUGGAGGACAUGAGUGCAGAAGGGGAGGGUGGAAUUCCAUGUGUAGCGGUGAAAUGCGUAGAUAUAUGGAGGAACACCGGUGGCGAAAGCGGCUCUCUGGUCUGUAACUGACGCUGAGGCUCGAAAGCGGGGGGAGCAAACAGG